Molecule: ribosomal RNA, 861 nt
Filed under: Enterococcus faecium
Lineage: Bacteria; Bacillati; Bacillota; Bacilli; Lactobacillales; Enterococcaceae
Description: bacterial SSU rRNA
Rfam family: Bacterial small subunit ribosomal RNA
Source: RNAcentral
UGAGUAACACGUGGGUAACCUGCCCAUCAGAAGGGGAUAACACUUGGAAACAGGUGCUAAUACCGUAUAACAAUCAAAACCGCAUGGUUUUGAUUUGAAAGGCGCUUUCGGGUGUCGCUGAUGGAUGGACCCGCGGUGCAUUAGCUAGUUGGUGAGGUAACGGCUCACCAAGGCCACGAUGCAUAGCCGACCUGAGAGGGUGAUCGGCCACAUUGGGACUGAGACACGGCCCAAACUCCUACGGGAGGCAGCAGUAGGGAAUCUUCGGCAAUGGACGAAAGUCUGACCGAGCAACGCCGCGUGAGUGAAGAAGGUUUUCGGAUCGUAAAACUCUGUUGUUAGAGAAGAACAAGGAUGAGAGUAACUGUUCAUCCCUUGACGGUAUCUAACCAGAAAGCCACGGCUAACUACGUGCCAGCAGCCGCGGUAAUACGUAGGUGGCAAGCGUUGUCCGGAUUUAUUGGGCGUAAAGCGAGCGCAGGCGGUUUCUUAAGUCUGAUGUGAAAGCCCCCGGCUCAACCGGGGAGGGUCAUUGGAAACUGGGAGACUUGAGUGCAGAAGAGGAGAGUGGAAUUCCAUGUGUAGCGGUGAAAUGCGUAGAUAUAUGGAGGAACACCAGUGGCGAAGGCGGCUCUCUGGUCUGUAACUGACGCUGAGGCUCGAAAGCGUGGGGAGCAAACAGGAUUAGAUACCCUGGUAGUCCACGCCGUAAACGAUGAGUGCUAAGUGUUGGAGGGUUUCCGCCCUUCAGUGCUGCAGCUAACGCAUUAAGCACUCCGCCUGGGGAGUACGACCGCAAGGUUGAAACUCAAAGGAAUUGACGGGGGCCCGCACAAGCGGUGGAGCAUGUGGUUUAAUUCG